RNAcentral lists this microRNA precursor (89 nucleotides) under Sorex araneus (European shrew). Its description in RNAcentral is "miRNA (ENSSARG00000016984.1)". Lineage: Eukaryota; Metazoa; Chordata; Mammalia; Eulipotyphla; Soricidae. The record is from RNAcentral.
UGUAUGCUUGUGUGUGUGUGUGUGUGUGUGUGUGUGUGUGUGUGGCGCCAGGGAUCCCCCUCAGGGUCUCACACACACAGCAUGCACGC